Molecule: unclassified non-coding RNA, 118 nt
Organism: Panthera pardus (leopard)
Lineage: Eukaryota; Metazoa; Chordata; Mammalia; Carnivora; Felidae
Source: Ensembl
UCUGCACUGAGUCAAACGAAGGAAGUGGGAGUUCCGUUAGCACGCUCAGGGCCCACACGCCAAACAAAAUUCCCUCCUCUUGGGGUCGCUAGUCCUAGAGGCACAGGAGACGGUGAGG